This 239-nucleotide ribosomal RNA is filed under the name uncultured Lactobacillus sp. RNAcentral's name for it is "partial 16S ribosomal RNA". It matches the Rfam family "Bacterial small subunit ribosomal RNA", at positions 125 to 355 of the family's 1533-position model. Lineage: Bacteria; Bacillati; Bacillota; Bacilli; Lactobacillales; Lactobacillaceae. The record is from RNAcentral.
CCGUAGCCCAAGAGAUCGGGAUAACACCUGGAAACAGAUGCUAAUACCGGAUAACAACAGAUGAUGCCUAUCAACUGUUUAAAAGAUGGUUCUGCUAUCACUCUUGGAUGGACCUGCGGUGCAUUAGCCAGUUGGUAGGGUAACGGCCUACCAAGGCGAUGAUGCAUAGCCGAGUUGAGAGACUGAUCGGCCACAUUGGGACUGAGACACGGCCCAAACUCCUACGGGAGGCAGCAGCC